Molecule: ribosomal RNA, 274 nt
Filed under: uncultured bacterium
Lineage: Bacteria
Description: partial 16S ribosomal RNA
Rfam family: Bacterial small subunit ribosomal RNA
Source: RNAcentral
AGACGGAGGUGGCAAGCGUUGCUCGGAAUUACUGGGCUUAAAGGGCGUGUAGGCGGUGUGCUAAGUCGGGUGUGAAAUCCCUCGGCUCAACCGAGGAAUUGCAUUCGAAACUGGUUCACUAGAGUGCGGGAGGGGAGAGUGGAACUCCAGGUGUAGCGGUGAAAUGCGUAGAUAUCUGGAGGAACGCCGGUGGCGAAAGCGACUCUCUGGCCCGCAACUGACGCUGAGGCGCGAAAGCCAGGGUAGCGAACGGGAUUAGAAACCCCAGUAGUCC